UCUGCAGCCCGACUUGAACGGAAAUCCUUUUUUGCAUUGGCGAAAGCGCUGGAUAAAAAAGAUUGGGAGUGGAAGGCGGAAAUAGCU
Molecule: small RNA, 87 nt
Filed under: Kaistella antarctica
Lineage: Bacteria; Pseudomonadati; Bacteroidota; Flavobacteriia; Flavobacteriales; Weeksellaceae
Description: Chryseobacterium antarcticum Flavo-1 RNA
Source: RNAcentral